AUAUAUAUAUAUACCUUGCUAUGGUAACAUUGUAUGAAACAUGGGGCAGGAGAGCUGGACGCCAGCUGGAUGUUGAAAAAACCCAAACCUGCAGCAAUGAACAUGUAUGUGCUAAAAUACAAUGUUUAUUAUCCGCUGCAGUUUCCAUUAUUAACAACUGACUCUUGCAAGCGUCCCGUUUCGCUGAAUUUCACUGAAUUUCUAGAGUUUGUCCCGUUGCACGUGAGUUGCAGGGAUCCACAGGAAAGAAGUAUGGGGCAGGAGAGCUGGACGCCAGCUGGAUGUUGAAAAAACCCAAACCUGCAGCAAUGAACAUGUAUGUGCUAAAAUACAAUGUUUAUUAUCCGCUGCAGUUUCCAUUAUUAACAACUGACUCUUGCAAGCGUCCCGUUUCCCGUGAGUUGCAGGGAUCCACAGGAAAGAAGUCCCCAUACGUGACACAGUUGUGCUGCUUCCUGCCAAAACUGCUGCAGGGGGCAGGGCAGGACAGGACAGGGAUCCAGGGACAGGAGCAGUGCUUCAGAAAACCUUCCAGCUUGGGCCUCUGGUAAGUGUCGAUUUUCUGCUGUGAGGGUGUACGUAGGUACUGCAUGGAAUACGCAACAGGCUCAACAGUUUGUUUGUUUGUUUGUUUAAAUUAAGGUCUGAAAAAAUUAUCACUUGCUGCAUACACAGAAACUAAACGUGAAGCACAGUUUUGCACUUCAGACAUGGAAUUCUAUUAUUUGGUUUAAGCUCUGUUUAAGCCUCUGGAAAAGUUGGCUGAAAUUUGCUCAGCAAGAACGUGGGUGGCUGUGCCCAAGGCCUGCCUAACUGAGGGACUCAGGCUGCAGAGUGCUGUGCCUGGCAUCUCUAACCCCCCAGCUGGGUGGAAAUGGGAGGGGGCAUCACACCACUGAGUGAAAACGGGUGCUGGCAGCACGUGGAGGUUAUCACUUGCUGCAUGCAAAGAAACUAAAUGUGAAGCACAGUUUUGCACUUCAGACAUGGAAUUCUAUUAUUUGGUUUAAGCUCUGUUUAAGCCUCUGGAAAAGUUGGCUGAAAUUUGCUCAGCAAGAACGUGGGUGGCUGUGCCCAAGGCCUGCCUAACUGAGGGACUCAGGCUGCAGAGUGCUGUGCCUGGCAUCUCUAACCCCCCAGCUGGGUGGAAAUGGGAGGGGGCACCGCACCACUGAGUGAAAACGGGUGCUGGCAGCACGUGGAGGUUUUCUUUGAUGUAAAGUUUGGGGGUUGCUUGCCUUUCUUCUUUUUUGAGGUCUCUUUUGUGCAAAAUCAUGUGCUAGUUAAGACAACAAUGUAGCUAGUUAUGACUUCAAGUCUAACUAGACUUGCAGGAACAAGCCUAAAACUUAAAAUAUGUUAAACUUUACUGCUGCUUUCAUCCUUAAGCAUUUGGAAAUUGAAUACAUAAUGAUUAAAUGAAAGUACAUGAAAUAUAUUAAGUGGAAUCUAAAGUUAUUUUUCAGACUUCAUUUAUGUAUCAUUAAUCAUUAUUUUAUAAUCACCAUAAAACAGCAGAUUGUCUGCUUAUGUACUUUCUCUUCAUUGCUUAACCAUUCGAAACCAGACCACUGCAGACACCCUGUGCUGCUGCCAUUUCACAUACAGUAUAUCUGGGAAUAUAUUUAAUAUUACAGUAUUUCCAAAUAUUCAUAGACUGUUUUUCUCACUACUUAAAAACAGCCAUAAAAUAAUUUUACUACUACUAUUAAAAUAACUGAUGGUAAAAGCCAUGCAUGAUCUAGAGCUUUUGCUGGCUUUAUUUAAUUUUAAACAUUUGCAAUAUAUUUUCCAUCCAUUAGGAAAAUGCUUGGACUCCUUGUUUUACAAACUACUGGAAACAAACCCCAAGCAUUUGCAUAUUAGUUAAGGUUUUGAGUUCACUAGAGUGAGAAUAGAUGGUAGGAACGAAACACACAGAGAAAAAAAAAGAUUAGUUUUUUUAAGGUUCAAAAAAACCCCAAACAUAAAACAAGUACAAAUAUUCCCAAAAGUUGUUUUUAUUAUGGAUGUAGCUUUUCUGCCUAGGCAAGUAUUUUCUUUUGCUGUUUAUAAUCCAAACUCGUGUAGUAUUGUGCUAGAGCAUGGAAGUUUGAAAAAUCAGAUGGACUCGUCUGUUUUUAUCACCCAAAACGACUAAGAACAGACCAUUCCACGCAGGAUCUUGGGAUGCUUCUGCAAUAAAAGCAGAAGUUAAAAGUACA
Molecule: long non-coding RNA, 2204 nt
Filed under: Calidris pugnax (ruff)
Lineage: Eukaryota; Metazoa; Chordata; Aves; Charadriiformes; Scolopacidae
Description: lncRNA (ENSCPUG00000000345.1)
Source: RNAcentral